This 460-nucleotide ribosomal RNA is filed under the name uncultured bacterium. RNAcentral's name for it is "partial 16S ribosomal RNA". It matches the Rfam family "Bacterial small subunit ribosomal RNA", at positions 338 to 795 of the family's 1533-position model. The record is from RNAcentral.
CCUACGGGCGGCAGCAGUGAGGAAUAUUGGUCAAUGGACGAGAGUCUGAACCAGCCAAGUAGCGUGAAGGAUGACUGCCCUAUGUGUUGUAAACUUCUUUUAUAAAGGAAUAAAACGAGGCACGUGUGCCUUUUUGCAUGUACUUUAUGAAUAAGGAUCGGCUAACUCCGUGCCAGCAGCCGCGGUAAUACGGAGGAUCCGAGCGUUAUCCGGAUUUAUUGGGUUUAAAGGGAGCGUAGAUGGGUUGUUAAGUCAGUUGUUAAAGUUUGCGGCUCAACCGUAAAAUUGCAAUUGAUACUGGCAGUCUUGAGUACAGUUGAGGUAGGCGGAAUUCGUGGUGUAGCGGUGAAAUGCUUAGAUAUCACGAAGAACCCCGAUUGCGAAGGCAGCUUACUAAACUGUGACUGACAUUGAUGCUCGAAAGUGUGGGUAUCAAACAGGAUUAGAUACCCUUGUAGUC